Molecule: ribosomal RNA, 138 nt
Filed under: Nannospalax galili (Upper Galilee mountains blind mole rat)
Lineage: Eukaryota; Metazoa; Chordata; Mammalia; Rodentia; Spalacidae
Source: RNAcentral
GUCUAUGGCCAUACCACCCUGAAUGUGCCCGAUCUUGUCUGAUCUUGGAAGCUAAGCAGGGUCGGGCCUGGUCAGUACUUGGAUGGGAGAAUCGACAGGUUCUAGGAGAGGUAGAAGAAUCAGGGAUCUAAGUAGACU